Molecule: long non-coding RNA, 743 nt
Filed under: Sus scrofa (pig)
Lineage: Eukaryota; Metazoa; Chordata; Mammalia; Artiodactyla; Suidae
Description: lncRNA (ENSSSCG00035002950.1)
Source: RNAcentral
UUGCUUCCAAUUGCUUCUACGGUGUGCUGGUGACGGGAGGGGAACAACCACCAUCUCUCUACAUGUUUACCCAUUUACCAGGAAAUAUGUUUAUACUGUUUUCCAAUCAGGAUUUACCACAAGCCGGGAGUUCCACACCUAAUGACCAGGCCAAACCCAGCCCACUGUCAACAGAGAAAAGUCGGCCUCAAACAUGAGAGAUUUUAAAUCACAAUGGACGUUCGAGGAGCAUGACUGCCAGCACUGUGAGCAGCAGGGCUGUCUCCAGCCGUCGACAGGACCAAACAGUAUCUCGGAAGCAUCAGCGAACACGUGUGGACGGAAGGUGCAGCACCCCCGUGAACCGGCCUCGCCCCACCACGGCCUCUCCUUCCAGCAGUCCCUCGGCUCCCCCCAGCCCUGCUCCACGGUGCCCGCCCCCAGCCCAAGGUGCUCACGACUGCCCACAAGAACCCAAACUCAGCCAUCGGAAGGCUGGGCCGCGGGGCUCCGGAGCCUCCAGAGAUGACUCUGCCCCACAGGAUGCCGGCUUCAUCUUCCACAGCCCGCAGGCAGUUCCAGGCACCCCUUCUUGCUGGCAAAAUGGGAGUUCACAGGCCAGAGGAGCCAUCAGUCCUAACACAGCACAAAGAAGGAAACACGACCAUGAGAGAACGGAGAAGGGCCACCCUAGGCAGCCAGCCAAGGGCCCAAGAGGUAAAAAGAGUGGAAGUGGCGCGCAGUCAAGAUUCCCCAAAAGGUGA